CUUGCUGGUUUUUGGCCUCCUGGGGAAAGCGCAGCUCCUAUGGGGAUGUGCAUUGUGCAGCCCCAGCUGAAAGACAAAUGCUGUGCCUGUGCCAGGCUGCUGAUGGGAGAGCAGGACAUCCAGUUGUGUAAUGCCUUCAGUGGAUGGCUGUGACUCAGUGGAUCCCUCCAGUAACUAUUAGGAAAGUAUUUCCUUUCUCAGCUAUAAGCUUAUGUGCUCUCGUUCCGGUUUCCCAAGAGAACUGUGGUAUGAAAUCCCAGUGGCCUGGAUCGAUGAGAAAUUACAAUGUCCUUUUUUGGAUCCAGCAGCUAAUUGGAAAGAAGACAUCGAAUUACGGGCCAGUGCAAGAAGCUUGCUUUAGGUUGGGUUAUGUGCUGUGCAGGAGGAUUCUCUUCUCAAGUCUCCCUUCUCAAGUCUCAUGCUCUGAGAGAUGUGAAUGGAAGUCUAGGAAGUGUCUGCAUGGAGGCAAACCCACCGACCACACACCAGCCUGCAGGGCUCUGCCUGCCCAGUGGGACCCACAGCGUUGGUGGUGGGAGCUCAGCAAACCAGCACCUGAAAUUACUGGCUGCAUGGUGUGGGUGGGCUUUCCUUGCCCUGUUUGCCAUAACUUUGGAUUCUGCUGCCAAGAAGGUGGUCAAGAUAAGCUCCAGUGGAAGACUGCUGUAUUAGCAUUGCAUGUCUGUAUGCUCUGCUUUAGAGUUAUUUUCCUGGUGUUUCUAAGGUAUCCUGUGUUGAGAAAAGUCUCUCCCCUACAUGCUGCCCAUGGCAAUGACGUGUAUUAAAAAUCUCUUUUCUCAAGUUAUUUGUCUAAUUUUUAGCUUUCUAAUGACUAAACAAGUGUAACAAAGCUGAUUAGAUUCAGUCAUUUACAAAGAGACUCUUCAUUAUGACAUAAAGUUCUUCCAUGUUGCUGCUGCUUCAUGUUUCUGGCUAAGAAUGAAGGAUGUGCGAGUGCAGAAGAUGGGAAGAAGUGCAGCCUCCCCAGGAGGAGGGGAAAUGCCAAUCAGCAUGGAAAUAACCCUGCAGGCAGAAACGAGGGGAAAGCUGAGAGACAGACUGGUGUGGUUGAGGAUUUGGUGGUGGGGAUUUGGGACAUAAGUCCUGGAUAACCUGACACUAACCUGAGCCUUGUGCUCUCUUUAAAGUCACUGUAUGAGAUCGGUGCCUUUAUUGUCACCCUGUCAGUUCUUUAAUUGCAGAUUCCUGGAAGGAAGGCGUGCAAACUGAAAGCAGAUUUUAAUGCCAUUGGUUUUCCUGUUUUGAAACUUCCCAUGCAUCUCUGUGAGUUUUGCAGCUGCCUUGUGAUAUUCCAGUUAUGCAGCUGGUUCUAAAACAAGAGAUGGGGCUGCUUAGCUUGGGGAGGUGCUGGAAAGUGCUGGCACUCUGUUCUGCAGUGCUCCCUCAGCAUCAAAUAGUGUAUGCAGAUGUGAAGGCAAGAAAAGGCAUUCCCCUCAUUCAAGCAGGCUCAGUGUUUCUUAGAUUAGAUAACAGGUAAUUCUUUUUUGUUUUCAACCCGAAGUUAUCAGUUGAACCAAAAAAAAAAAAAAAAAGCAGUUCUUUGUGAUGAAUAAGCUAAAAACCACUGUGAUUCAUCACGUUUCUCUGAAACCCUGAUCCCUACCCUCAGGCAGGGAGCAAUCCCGCAGAAUGCCUCGGUCUGCAUUGAGGAAUUUUGUUUUUGAAUGCCUGGGUCAUGGGGGGGGGGGGGAAUGCUCAGCCUUCCUUGGGCUUCUGUCAGUGUUGCUUUCCUACGUAGGCGUUGCUGGGCUGGGGAUGUUGUGUUUGUUCCUGUGCUUUCACCUGAGUUUUUAGGUUGGGUGGUUUUUAGCUUCUGUCACAGGUCUGGACAAUUAAAUGUGCAGUUUCGUAUGAAGCUCGCUCUGGAGGCCCAAAGUGAGAUCUUUUCCCUGUAUCCUCUGCACUUCACAUUGAGGUGAUGCUGAAGCUUCUUAAAAAGCCCCGUUCAGCAAGGAGGGAUUUCAGCUGCAGGUACAGCACAGCGCUGGCCCCAGCUGCCAAAACCACGCUCAGGGGCUGAUGCACUCAUUCCCAGCUUUUAACAGAAUUGUAUCAAAAUAUCUGAACGUAGUAAAUGCAGUCAUUUGAAUCUUGGAACAAGUUGACCUUGUAAAAUAAGAACAGGAACGUGCUUGAGUGUUGGGAGGCAGGAUUAGCAUCGAAGUACCUGCUCAGGAAUUGUACAUAUUGCUUAUUGAAGGGACUUUGCUUUGUCUAUAAAUGAUUCCUGUAUUUCACUGUAAAGCAGAAGAGCUCUGUUUUCACUUGCUUUUACUGUAACAUCCCUAAAUAUGUGCUUCUAUCUUUGCAAAACCAUGAAGCACUCAGCAUGUCCCAAAACUAGUCUUGUACACUGGUUUGUAUCAGACUGCUCGGGUCAGUUCUAGCACGCCGUUAUUUGUGCAGUGGUUCUGCAGAUCUGAGGUGCCUCUUGAUCGGAGCUGGAGGCUGGAGCUUUAUUCUGGGGAGGGUGUUUGGAUCUGUUGGUUAAGGAGGAGUGAUGAGCUGCUGGAAAGGCUGAUGCCCUGUGUCUGGGAGACUCAACACUCGCUAUCUGGCAGCAGCAGCUCCUCAGCAGUGGUUCUCCAACGAUUCCAUCCUUUGUGCUGUGAAUGCUUCAUGCUUGGAAUGUGCAAUCAAACUGAAAACAGAGCUGUGUGGUGAUGUGUGCUUACAUGGUGGCAGCGCUCCUUUCUUCCCCACCUGACCUGUUUGCCAUAACAAUGUAUAGGAGCUGCACAAAGUACCUCCUGCAGCACUGUUAUUUGCAUUUUAUU
Molecule: long non-coding RNA, 2798 nt
Organism: Lagopus muta (rock ptarmigan)
Lineage: Eukaryota; Metazoa; Chordata; Aves; Galliformes; Phasianidae
Exons: 2
Source: RefSeq, a predicted model, not a curated record